CGGUAAUUCCAGCUCCAAUAGCGUAUAUUAAAGUUGUUGCAGUUAAAAAGCUCGUAGUUGGAUUUCUGGUGGGAGCACGGGUCGGCCUUAACGGGUUGCACUGUUGUUGCGUCCUGCCGUUUCGGAGGGAAGGGCUUCGCUAUUCAGUUAGUGGGGUCGGGAACUCCGUCGUUUACUGUGAAAAAAUUAGAGUGUUCAAAGCAGGCCUUCGCUGUGAAUACAUUAGCAUGGAAUAAUAAGAUAGGACUGUAGUGCUAUUUUGUUGGUUUGCGUACUACGGUAAUGAUUAAUAGGGAUAGUUGGGGGUAUUCAUAUUCAAUUGUCAGAGGUGAAAUUCUUGGAUUUAUGGAAGAUGAACGACUGCGAAAGCAUUUACCAAGGAUGUUUUCAUUAAUCAAGAACGAAAGUUAGGGGAUCGAAGAUGAUUAGAUACCAUCGUAGUCUUAACCAUAAACUAUGCCGACUCAGGAUUGGCCGACGUUGAUUUAAUGACUCGGUCAGCACUGUAUGAGAAAUCAAAGUCUUUGGGUUCCGGGGGGAGUAUGGUCGCAAGGCUGAAACUUAAAGGAAUUGACGGAAGGGCACCACCAGGAGUGGAGCCUGCGGGUUAAUUUGACUCAACACGGGAAAACUUACCAGGUCCGGACAUAGUAAGGAUUGACAGAUUGAUAGCUCUUUCUUGAUCCUAUGGGUGGUGGUGCAUGGCCGUUCUUAGUUGGUGGAGUGAUUUGUCUGGUUAAUUCCGUUAACGAACGAGACCUCAGCUUACUAAAUAGUCGGGCGAACUUAUGGUUGGUGGCGACUUCUUAGAGGGACGAUCGUCGUUUAGACGAUGGAAGUUUGAGGCAAUAACAGGUCUGUGAUGUCCUUAGAUGUUAUGGGCCGCACGCGCGCUACACUGAUGCAUUCAACGAGCACCCGCUGGGCUGAGAGGUCCGGUUAAUCUUUGAACGUGCAUCGUGCUGGGGAUAGAUGAUUGCAAUUAUUCAUCUUCAACGAGGAAUUCCUAGUAAACGCAAGUCAUCAGCUUGCAUUGAUUACGUCCCUGCCCUUUGUACACACCGCCCGUCGCACCUACCGAUUGAAUGGUCCGGUGAAAUUCUCGGACGCGACCUGGUCAAUGUUUACUCGGCGCUUGGUUGUGAAAGUUAAUUAAACCUUACCAUUUAGAGGAAGGUGAAGUCGUAACAAGGUAACC
This 1198-nucleotide ribosomal RNA is filed under the name uncultured stramenopile. RNAcentral's name for it is "bacterial SSU rRNA". It matches the Rfam family "Eukaryotic small subunit ribosomal RNA", at positions 577 to 1804 of the family's 1831-position model. The record is from RNAcentral.